AUUGAACGCUGGCGGAAUGCUUUACACAUGCAAGUCGAACGGCAGCACGGACUUCGGUCUGGUGGCGAGUGGCGAACGGGUGAGUAAUGUAUCGGAACGUGCCCAGUCGUGGGGGAUAACGUAGUGAAAAUUACGCUAAUACCGCAUACGAUCUAUGGAUGAAAGCGGGGGAUCGCAAGACCUCGCGCGGUUGGAGCGGCCGAUAUCAGAUUAGGUAGUUGGUGGGGUCAAGGCCCACCAAGCCAACGAUCUGUAGCUGGUCUGAGAGGACGACCAGCCACACUGGAACUGAGACACGGUCCAGACUCCUACGGGAGGCAGCAGUGGGGAAUUUUGGACAAUGGGCGAAAGCCUGAUCCAGCCAUUCCGCGUGCAGGAUGAAGGCCCUCGGGUUGUAAACUGCUUUUGUACAGAACGAAAAGGUUUCUACUAAUACCAGGAGCUCAUGACGGUACUGUAAGAAUAAGCACCGGCUAACUACGUGCCAGCCGCCGCAGUAA
Molecule: ribosomal RNA, 500 nt
Filed under: uncultured bacterium
Lineage: Bacteria
Description: partial 16S ribosomal RNA
Rfam family: Bacterial small subunit ribosomal RNA
Source: RNAcentral